GACGUAGGGCGCGAGCGUUGUCCGGAUUUAUUGGGCGUAAAGAGCUCGUAGGCGGCCUGUCGCGUCGACUGUGAAAACCCGCAGCUCAACUGCGGGACUGCAGUCGAUACGGGCAGGCUAGAGUUCGGUAGGGGAGACUGGAAUUCCUGGUGUAGCGGUGAAAUGCGCAGAUAUCAGGAGGAACACCGGUGGCGAAGGCGGGUCUCUGGGCAGUAACUGACGCUGAGGAGCGAAAGCGUGGGGAGCGAACAGG
Molecule: ribosomal RNA, 253 nt
Filed under: uncultured bacterium
Lineage: Bacteria
Description: partial 16S ribosomal RNA
Rfam family: Bacterial small subunit ribosomal RNA
Source: RNAcentral